Molecule: non-coding RNA, 108 nt
Filed under: Alexandrium monilatum
Lineage: Eukaryota; Dinophyceae; Gonyaulacales; Pyrocystaceae
Source: RNAcentral
CACCUUCAUUUGCUGCAUCUAGACCGCCUGAGCACUGGCAAGGUCGCCCGGCCCGAUUCUGCAUGCGGGCACACUUGUGCCCGUUGGGCGUGGAUGCGCUGGUUGGUU